This 211-nucleotide ribosomal RNA is filed under the name uncultured Lactococcus sp. Its description in RNAcentral is "partial 16S ribosomal RNA". It matches the Rfam family "Bacterial small subunit ribosomal RNA", at positions 308 to 520 of the family's 1533-position model. The record is from RNAcentral. Lineage: Bacteria; Bacillati; Bacillota; Bacilli; Lactobacillales; Streptococcaceae.
UCGCCCGCCGCGCGCGGCGGGCUACGGGAGGCAGCAGUAGGGAAUCUUCGGCAAUGGACGAAAGUCUGACCGAGCAACGCCGCGUGAGUGAAGAAGGUUUUCGGAUCGUAAAACUCUGUUGGUAGAGAAGAACGUUGGUGAGAGUGGAAAGCUCAUCAAGUGACGGUAACUACCCAGAAAGGGACGGCUAACUACGUGCCAGCAGCCGCGG